CCUACGGGAGGCAGCAGUGAGGAAUAUUGGUCAAUGGACGAGAGUCUGAACCAGCCAAGUAGCGUGAAGGAUGACUGCCCUAUGGGUUGUAAACUUCUUUUAUAUGGGAAUAAAAUGUUCCACGUGUGGGAUUUUGUAUGUACCAUAUGAAUAAGGAUCGGCUAACUCCGUUCCAGCAGCCGCGGUAAUACGGAGGAUCCGAGCGUUAUCCGGAUUUAUUGGGUUUAACGGGAGCGUAGGUGGAUUGUUAAGUCAGUUGUGAAAGUUUGCGGCUCAAACGUAAAAUUGCAGUUGAAACUGGCAGUCUUGAGUACAGUAGAGGUGGGCGGAAUUCGUGGUGUAGCGGUGAAAUGCUUAGAUAUCACGAAGAACUCCGAUUGCGAAGGCAGUUCACUGGACUGCAACUGACACUGAGGCUCGAAAGUGUGGGUAUCAAACAGGAUUAGAUACCCUUGUAGUC
RNAcentral lists this ribosomal RNA (460 nucleotides) under uncultured bacterium. RNAcentral's name for it is "partial 16S ribosomal RNA". It matches the Rfam family "Bacterial small subunit ribosomal RNA", at positions 338 to 795 of the family's 1533-position model. The record is from RNAcentral.